Molecule: ribosomal RNA, 753 nt
Filed under: uncultured beta proteobacterium
Lineage: Bacteria; Pseudomonadati; Pseudomonadota; Betaproteobacteria
Description: bacterial SSU rRNA
Rfam family: Bacterial small subunit ribosomal RNA
Source: RNAcentral
AUUGAACGCUGGCGGCAUGCUUUACACAUGCAAGUCGAACGGCAGCACGGGUGCUUGCACCUGGUGGCGAGUGGCGAACGGGUGAGUAAUGCAUCGGAACGUACCGAGUAAUGGGGGAUAACGCAGCGAAAGUUGUGCUAAUACCGCAUACGCCCUGAGGGGGAAAGUGGGGGAUCGCAAGACCUCACGUUAUUCGAGCGGCCGAUGUCUGAUUAGCUAGUUGGUGGGGUAAAGGCUCACCAAGGCGACGAUCAGUAGCUGGUCUGAGAGGAUGAUCAGCCACACUGGGACUGAGACACGGCCCAGACUCCUACGGGAGGCAGCAGUGGGGAAUUUUGGACAAUGGGCGCAAGCCUGAUCCAGCCAUGCCGCGUGAGUGAAGAAGGCCUUCGGGUUGUAAAGCUCUUUCAGUGGGAACGAAACGGCGGACUCUAACAUAGUCUGCUAAUGACGGUACCCACAGAAGAAGCACCGGCUAACUACGUGCCAGCAGCCGCGGUAAUACGUAGGGUGCGAGCGUUAAUCGGAAUUACUGGGCGUAAAGCGUGCGCAGGCGGUUUCUUAAGCCAGAUGUGAAAGCCCCGGGCUUAACCUGGGAAUUGCGUUUGGAACUGGGAGACUGGAGUGUGGCAGAGGGAGGUAGAAUUCCACGUGUAGCAGUGAAAUGCGUAGAGAUGUGGAGGAAUACCGAUGGCGAAGGCAGCCUCCUGGGCCAACACUGACGCUCAUGCACGAAAGCGUGGGGAGCAAACA